This 336-nucleotide ribosomal RNA is filed under the name uncultured bacterium. RNAcentral's name for it is "partial 16S ribosomal RNA". It matches the Rfam family "Bacterial small subunit ribosomal RNA", at positions 338 to 666 of the family's 1533-position model. The record is from RNAcentral.
CCUACGGGCGGCAGCAGUAGGGAAUCUUCCACAAUGGGCGAAAGCCUGAUGGAGCAACGCCGCGUGGGUGAAGAAGGUCUUCGGAUCGUAAAACCCUGUUGUUAGAGAAGAAAGUGCGUGAGAGUAACUGUUCACGUAUCGACGGUAUCUAACCAGAAAGACACGGCUCACUACGUGCCAGCAGCCGCGGUAAUACGUAGGUGGCAAGCGGUAUCCGGAUUGAUUGGGCGUAAAGGUAACGCAGGCGGUCUUUUAAGGCUGAUGUGAAAGCGUUCGGCUUAACCGGAGUAGUGCAUUGGAAACUGGGAGACUUGAGUGCAGAAGAGGUGAGUGGAA